This 904-nucleotide ribosomal RNA is filed under the name Dichostereum rhodosporum. RNAcentral's name for it is "LSU rRNA". It matches the Rfam family "Eukaryotic large subunit ribosomal RNA", at positions 36 to 965 of the family's 3401-position model. Lineage: Eukaryota; Fungi; Basidiomycota; Agaricomycetes; Russulales; Lachnocladiaceae. The record is from RNAcentral.
UAGCAUAUCAAUAAGCGGAGGAAAAGAAACUAACAAGGAUUCCCCUAGUAACUGCGAGUGAAGCGGGAAGAGCUCAAAUUUAAAAUCUGGCGGCCUUGCCGUCCGAGUUGUAAUUUAGAGAAGCGUUUUCCGCGUCGGACCGUGUACAAGUCUCCUGGAACGGAGCGUCAUAGAGGGUGAGAAUCCCGUCUUUGACACGGACCCCCGGUGCUCUGUGAUACGCUCUCGAAGAGUCGAGUUGUUUGGGAAUGCAGCUCAAAAUGGGUGGUGAACUCCAUCUAAAGCUAAAUAUUGGCGAGAGACCGAUAGCGAACAAGUACCGUGAGGGAAAGAUGAAAAGCACUUUGGAAAGAGAGUGAAACAGUACGUGAAAUUGCUGAAAGGGAAACGCUUGAAGUCAGUCGCGUCCGCCGGAAUUCAGCCUUCAUGGUGUACUUUCUGACGGACGGGCCAGCAUCACUUUUGAUCGCCGGAAAAGGGCAGAGGGAAUGUGGCACCUCCGGGUGUGUUAUAGCCCUCUGUCGUAUACGGUGGUUGGGAGUGAGGACCGCCUAUCUUUGUAGGAUGCUGGCGUAAUGGCUUUAAACGACCCGUCUUGAAACACGGACCAAGGAGUCUAACAUGCCCGCGAGUGUUCGGGUGGAAAACCCGUGCGCGUAAUGAAAGUGAAAGUUGGGAAGGCUGUCAUGGCCUGCACCGACGCCCGGACCUGAGAUUUAUCAAAGGUUCUGCGGUAGAGCGUGUAUGUUGGGACCCGAAAGAUGGUGAACUAUGCCUGAAUAGGGUGAAGCCAGAGGAAACUCUGGUGGAGGCUCGUAGCGAUUCUGACGUGCAAAUCGAUCGUCAAAUUUGGGUAUAGGGGCGAAAGACUAAUCGAACCAUCUAGUAGCUGGUUCCUGCCGAU